This 268-nucleotide ribosomal RNA is filed under the name uncultured bacterium. Its description in RNAcentral is "partial 16S ribosomal RNA". It matches the Rfam family "Bacterial small subunit ribosomal RNA", at positions 333 to 615 of the family's 1533-position model. The record is from RNAcentral.
GAUUCCCUACGGGGCGCAGCAGUGGGGAAUAUUGCACAAUGGGCGAAAGCCUGAUGCAGCAACGCCGCGUGAAGGAAGAAGGGUUUCGGCUCGUAAACUUCUAUUAACAGGGACGAAAGAAAUGACGGUACCUGAAUAAGAAGCCCCGGCUAACUACGUGCCAGCAGCCGCGGUAAUACGCAGGGGGCAAGCGUUAUCCGGAAUUACUGGGUGUAAAGGGUGAGUAGGGGGCAUGGUAAGCCAGAUGUGAAAGCCUUGGGCUUAACCC